Molecule: ribosomal RNA, 395 nt
Filed under: Alphaproteobacteria bacterium
Lineage: Bacteria; Pseudomonadati; Pseudomonadota; Alphaproteobacteria
Description: partial 23S ribosomal RNA
Rfam family: Bacterial large subunit ribosomal RNA
Source: RNAcentral
GGCACCUCGAUGUCGGCUCAUCUCAUCCUGGGGCUGGAGCAGGUCCCAAGGGUAUGGCUGUUCGCCAUUUAAAGAGGUACGUGAGCUGGGUUCAAAACGUCGUGAGACAGUUUGGUCCCUAUCUGCCGUGGGUGUAGGAUACUUGAGAGGAGCUGUCCUUAGUACGAGAGGACCGGGAUGGACACACCUCUGGUGUACCAGUUGUUCCGCCAGGAGCAGUGCUGGGUAGCUAUGUGUGGACGGGAUAAACGCUGAAAGCAUCUAAGCGUGAAGCCUCCCUCAAAACUAGGUAUCCCUAUCAGAACCGUGGAAGACCACCACGUUGAUAGGCUGGAUGUGAAAGCGCAGUAAUGUGUGAAGCUAACCAGUACUAAUUGUUCGAUCGGCUUGAAUUU